Cyanistes caeruleus (blue tit) is the source of this 482-nucleotide non-coding RNA. The record is from RefSeq and is a predicted model, not a curated record. NCBI's taxonomy places the organism in Eukaryota, Metazoa, Chordata, Aves, Passeriformes, Paridae.
UUGUGGAAAACAAAAAGCCAAGAGCGGUGACAUGUUGAAACAAGCCCUGAAGAACUGCUGUUAACAGAACAUACUUCUGUGUUCUCUGAAGUGACAGAAAAAGGGGUCAUCAGUGAUUCAUCCAGCACCAAUAUAGUAACAAACUGUAACAUCAAAGAAGCAGGAACACCUUGCUUUACUGUUCUGGGAUUGACCAAACAUCUCUCUGUGCAUGCCUUCAAUAGUCCUUGCAUAUUGUAUUUAAGCAGAUAUAUCAGAAUUUAAUGCCCAAUGUCUUUCCUUGCUGGAAAGAAGGAUUCCAUCAUCCCACGUGGAACACAAUGGGCUCAAUGUCCCUUGAGCUGCACAGAAAAUUAACCAGGCAGGCAGGCUGGUGGACAUGCAUACCAAGAACCUCCAUUCCCCUGCAAGUCCAUGACUGAAGAUAAAUUAAACAAGGAUACGCCACUGCUCAUUCUCUUCGACAAUAAAUAAGAGGAAAA